RNAcentral lists this ribosomal RNA (800 nucleotides) under Citricoccus sp. K105. RNAcentral describes it as "bacterial SSU rRNA". It matches the Rfam family "Bacterial small subunit ribosomal RNA", at positions 64 to 873 of the family's 1533-position model. The record is from RNAcentral. RNAcentral also lists the same sequence under 1 other name. Lineage: Bacteria; Bacillati; Actinomycetota; Actinomycetes; Micrococcales; Micrococcaceae.
ACGCUGAAGCUCCAGCUUGCUGGGGUGGAUGAGUGGCGAACGGGUGAGUAACACGUGAGUAACCUUCCCUUGACUCUGGGAUAAGCCCGGGAAACUGGGUCUAAUACCGGAUAUGACCUCCUGUCGCAUGGUGGGGGGUGGAAAGAUUUAUCGGUCUUGGAUGGACUCGCGGCCUAUCAGCUUGUUGGUGAGGUAAUGGCUCACCAAGGCGACGACGGGUAGCCGGCCUGAGAGGGUGACCGGCCACACUGGGACUGAGACACGGCCCAGACUCCUACGGGAGGCAGCAGUGGGGAAUAUUGCACAAUGGGCGCAAGCCUGAUGCAGCGACGCCGCGUGAGGGAUGACGGCCUUCGGGUUGUAAACCUCUUUCAGUAGGGAAGAAGCCUUCGGGUGACGGUACCUGCAGAAGAAGCGCCGGCUAACUACGUGCCAGCAGCCGCGGUAAUACGUAGGGCGCGAGCGUUAUCCGGAAUUAUUGGGCGUAAAGAGCUCGUAGGCGGUUUGUCGCGUCUGCCGUGAAAGUCCGGGGCUUAACCCCGGAUCUGCGGUGGGUACGGGCAGACUAGAGUGCAGUAGGGGAGACCGGAAUUCCUGGUGUAGCGGUGAAAUGCGCAGAUAUCAGGAGGAACACCGAUGGCGAAGGCAGGUCUCUGGGCUGUUACUGACGCUGAGGAGCGAAAGCAUGGGGAGCGAACAGGAUUAGAUACCCUGGUAGUCCAUGCCGUAAACGUUGGGCACUAGGUGUGGGGGACAUUCCACGUUUUCCGCGCCGCAGCUAACGCAUUAAGUGCCCCGCC